AUUGAACGCUGGCGGCAUGCUUUACACAUGCAAGUCGAACGGUAACAGGCCGCAAGGUGCUGACGAGUGGCGAACGGGUGAGUAAUGCAUCGGAACGUGCCCAGUCGUGGGGGAUAACUACUCGAAAGAGUAGCUAAUACCGCAUACGAUCUAUGGAUGAAAGCGGGGGACCGUAAGGCCUCGCGCGAUUGGAGCGGCCGAUGUCAGAUUAGGUAGUUGGUGGGGUAAAGGCUCACCAAGCCAACGAUCUGUAGCUGGUCUGAGAGGACGAACAGCCACACUGGGACUGAGACACGGCCCAGACUCCUACGGGAGGCAGCAGUGGGGAAUUUUGGACAAUGGGCGCAAGCCUGAUCCAGCAAUGCCGCGUGCAGGAAGAAGGCCUUCGGGUUGUAAACUGCUUUUGUACGGAACGAAACGGCUCUGGUUAAUACCCGGGGCUAAUGACGGUACCGUAAGAAUAAGCACCGGCUAACUACGUG
This 482-nucleotide ribosomal RNA is filed under the name uncultured bacterium. RNAcentral describes it as "partial 16S ribosomal RNA". It matches the Rfam family "Bacterial small subunit ribosomal RNA", at positions 30 to 507 of the family's 1533-position model. The record is from RNAcentral.